RNAcentral lists this ribosomal RNA (316 nucleotides) under uncultured bacterium. RNAcentral's name for it is "bacterial SSU rRNA". It matches the Rfam family "Bacterial small subunit ribosomal RNA", at positions 248 to 554 of the family's 1533-position model. The record is from RNAcentral.
GUUGGUGGGGUAAAGGCCUACCACAGGCGACGAUCUGUAGCGGGUCUGAAAAGAUGAUCCGCCACACUGGGACUGAAACACGGCCCACACUCCUACGGGAGGAAGCAAUGGGGAAUAUUGGACAAUGGGGGGAACCCUGAUCCAGCCAUGCCGCGUGUGUGAAGAAGGCCUUAUGGUUGUAAAGCACUUUAAACGAGGAGGAGGCUACUAGUAUUAAUACUACUGGAUAGUGGACCUUACUCACAUAAUAAGCACCGGCUAACUCUGUGCCAGAAGCCGCGGUAAUACAGAGGGUGCUAGCGUUAAUCAGAUUUAC